This 213-nucleotide long non-coding RNA is filed under the name Gallus gallus (chicken). Lineage: Eukaryota; Metazoa; Chordata; Aves; Galliformes; Phasianidae. The record is from RNAcentral.
CAUCUUCUUUUUUUCCUGUGACCUUUAUAAGGGUUUGCUUUGUUUUCCAGUAUUUCUGUUGCAUUUUAUUAACCACAGAUUUUUCUUGGCUUUGAGCAUAUUGAUCAUAAAAUUCCCUUGGAUAAUUGUACUUAUGACCAUCCAUUUUUCUUAUUUUCUUCAGACACUUGCUCGGGGCCGAGGAGCGGAGGGCAGGGCAGGGCCGAGCCGGAG